ACAAUGAUGAAUAAACUUAUCACCAUCUUUCGACUGAUCAAAUCGUGACUGUCAAUAUAGUUUCCAUACUGAUGCCAUGU
Molecule: non-coding RNA, 80 nt
Organism: Aedes albopictus (Asian tiger mosquito)
Lineage: Eukaryota; Metazoa; Arthropoda; Insecta; Diptera; Culicidae
Source: Rfam